RNAcentral lists this ribosomal RNA (426 nucleotides) under uncultured bacterium. Its description in RNAcentral is "bacterial SSU rRNA". It matches the Rfam family "Bacterial small subunit ribosomal RNA", at positions 354 to 796 of the family's 1533-position model. The record is from RNAcentral.
GCAGGGAAUAUUGCGCAAUGGACGAAAGUCUGACGCAGCGACGCCGCGUGAGGGAAGAAGACCUUCGGGUUGUAAACCUCUUUUCCUGGGGAAGAAUAAUGACGGUACCCAGGGAAUAAGUCUCGGCCAACUACGUGCCAGCAGCCGCGGUAAUACGUAGGAGGCGAGCGUUAUCCGGAUUUACUGGGCGUAAAGGGGGUGUAGGUGGCUUUUCAAGUCGGAUGUGAAAUCUUCCGGCUUAACCGGAAGGGGUCAUUCGAUACUGUUAGGCUAGAGUGCAGCAGAGGGAAGUGGAAUUCCCGGUGUAGUGGUGAAAUGUGUAGAUAUCGGGAGGAACACCAGUGGCGAAGGCGGCUUCCUGGGCUGUAACUGACGCUGAGACCCGUAAGCGUGGGGAGCAAACAGGAUUAGAAACCCGGGUAGUCC